AACGAACGCUGGCGGCAGGCUUAACACAUGCAAGUCGAGCGCCCCGCAAGGGGAGCGGCAGACGGGUGAGUAACGCGUGGGAACGUACCUUUUGGUUCAGAACAACUCCGUGAAACUGGAGCUAAUACCGGAUAAGCCCUAACGUGGAAAGAUUUAUCGCAGAAAGAUCGGCACGCGUCUGAUUAGCUAGGUGGUGAGGUAACGGCUUACCAAGGCUACGAUGCAUAGCCGACCUGAGAGGAUGAGCGGCCACACUGGAACUGAGACACGGCCCAGACGCCUACGGGAGGCAGCAGUAGGGAAUCUUCCGCAAUGGGCGAAAGCCGGACGGAGCAACGCCGCGUGAGUGAAGAAGGUCUUCGGAUCGUAAAGCACUGUUGUUAGGGAAGAACAUAUGUGUAAGAAACAGUGCACAUCGUGACGGUACCUAAUCAGAAAGCCACGGCUAACUACGUG
RNAcentral lists this ribosomal RNA (456 nucleotides) under uncultured bacterium. RNAcentral's name for it is "partial 16S ribosomal RNA". It matches the Rfam family "Bacterial small subunit ribosomal RNA", at positions 29 to 507 of the family's 1533-position model. The record is from RNAcentral.